UCCACGAUGGUGUAAUGGCUAACAUCGCUGUCUUUCACACAGCAGCUCGGGGUUCGAUUGUUGUGGAA
Molecule: transfer RNA, 68 nt
Filed under: Sphaerobolus stellatus SS14
Lineage: Eukaryota; Fungi; Basidiomycota; Agaricomycetes; Geastrales; Sphaerobolaceae
Rfam family: tRNA
About the family: Transfer RNA (tRNA) molecules are approximately 80 nucleotides in length. Their secondary structure includes four short double-helical elements and three loops (D, anti-codon, and T loops).
Source: Rfam by way of RNAcentral